GUGUCAGCAGCCGCGGUAAUACAGAGGGUGCAAGUGUUGUUCGGAAUCAUUGGGCGUAAAGGGCGCGUAGGUGGUCCGGUAAGUCAGAUGUGAAAGCCCUGGGCUUAACCCAGGAAAUGCAUUUGAAACUGCCGGACUAGAGUUCAGUAGAGGAUAGUGGAAUUCCCGGUGUAGAGGUGAAAUUCGUAGAGAUCGGGAGGAACACCAGUGGCGAAAGCGGCUAUCUGGGCUGCAACUGACACUGAGGCGCGAAAGCGUGGGGAGCAAACAGGAUUAGAAACCCUAGUAGUCC
Molecule: ribosomal RNA, 292 nt
Filed under: uncultured bacterium
Lineage: Bacteria
Description: partial 16S ribosomal RNA
Rfam family: Bacterial small subunit ribosomal RNA
Source: RNAcentral